UUGAAGUUUCAAGCGUCACGUGACAUCGCUCUCUUCUCUAAUUGGUCACCGGCAGGACAUAAACAGGAAGAAGGUCGGAGUGGGGGGAACAAAGCAGCAGCUGGGCGGAGAAUCCUCCUUCACACGGUGAAAAGAUGAAUGCUAACAUGCUAACAUGCUAGCUUCGGUAUAAUGCCAGAAGGUACAGCUGUGCUCUAAAGGGUGAGCACUUGGUGUGGCAUUACUGAUUACGAGCGCCUCGGUCUGACUACGUUCCCUUUUACGUCAUCCAAAAAACUGCCACGGUGUGGAGGAGUCUGCCGUCACUCCAGCCCUUUUCUGAUCCUGACAGAUGAGUUCAACCUGCAGCCCGCAGCCACCGAGAGGCAAGGGAAGAGAAGAGAAGAGAAGAGAAGAGAAGAAAAGGGAAGAGAAGAGAAGGGGGGAUGUGAGAGAAUGAAACAGAUGGAUACAUGAAACUGAAAUAGUUUGGGGGAGUGAAGGAAAGAAAGAGAUGCUGCUUAGCCUCACCUGCCAGUCUGUGUUAGCGGGGAUGAGCCAGACUUCCUGCUUCUGGAAGCUUAGUGUCAAAGGUGCCACUGCAGGGCCGUGUCUGACACGUGUGUGUGUGUGGGUGUGUGUGUGGUGUGUGUGUGUGUGUGUGUGUGUGUGUGUGUGUGUGUGUGUGUGUGUGUGUGUGUGUGUGUGUGUGUGUGUGUCCGUGCCCAGUAGGGGUUCCCCUGCAGUUCUUCUCGCCUCGGCACCGAUCACCUGCGUCUGUUGCCAUGACUCCAAGGGAAGAUGACUUGCAACUCCUCAACAAACUGACAGAAAAGACACACAUCUUCAUCCCACUCAGCUUUUUUUUUAUUGACCUGUCCAGCCAAAUUGUUCCUGGGUGUCAAACCUACGGCCCACGAGCCCCAUCAGGCCAGCAAACAGGUUUAGCGCGGCCCGCAAGAUGAGUAUGAAAAUGAGCUGCAAGAAAGUGCUCACCCCGGGACCAGACUUCAUGUGCAAGUGCAGUGCAUUGGGAGGCCUGCAGGGGAUCAUUUUGAAUGGAGGCAAGUCCUGGGUCCCGACUUUGAACAGCUAGCGCUUCAUCCGUGGUCAUCCAAUAACCUCUCCACGCAGGAGAGGGGGAGAGACGGCAGAUCAACUGGUCUAAAAAGGGGGGUCUAUUUAAAGGCUAGAGUAUACAAAUGAGUUUUAAGAUGGGACUUAAAUGCUUCUACUGAGGUUGCAUCUCUAACUUUUACUGCUAGAACAUUCCAGAGUACUGGAGCCCCAAUAGAAAACGGACAUCGUCCUCCUCAUCUCUGACCCCGACGACAUCGUCCUCCUCGUCUAUGGCUCCAACGACAUCGUCCUCCUCAUUUUGGACUUCGAUGACAUCAUCCUCCUCGUCUCUGGCGGACCUCUCCGCAGCGCCGCCAUCCUCCUCGUCUCCAGCAUCAUCGCCCCCGUGACCUCCGGCUGGACGGCCAUCAGGCGCUCGCACGCGGCGCCCUCUGUGGCCAGUGCAUGAACCCUUUUUGCGUCAACAGCAGCGACGCCCAGGACAGAGACGUGUGACUCGUAGGCUGCUGUGGUUCUGGCGCCGCUCGCGUCCGCCUUCCCGAUCGCCAAGAAGGUGGCCGUUCCUUGGUUGCCCGCCUCGCCGCCGCCACCAGACUCGCUCCCCGGUGGAUUUGGGGACACUCUAGCCGACAACCCACCACCAGUUCUCCCCUCCGCCCUACCUUGACUCUUGAUCUCUGUGUUCUUCUGGUUCCAGUUUUAGGACAUCUGGAAUCUGUCCGUAGGAGGGGGGUACUGUCACGGCCCAGGCGCAUUCCAACGCGCACUCGUCUGUGUGCUCUGCUGAGUGCACCUCCAAGAGCGCACCUGCGCGUGACACGCUUUCUUAAGCCAGCACAACCUGCUAUCCCGCGCCAGAACGUAGUCAUCUGUUCCAGUACACCCACCUUCGUUUCCACGUUACGAGAUGUGUGCCUCGUCUCCUCGCGUUCCCUCUGGUUCCCUGGCUGCAUCUUGGAUUUCGACCUCCUGCCUGGACACGGACUUUGACGCCUCUCUCCUCCCCUCCACCUCACGUCUGUCUCACGGAUCUCCGAGCCUGCCUUGCCUCUAUUGGACUUCCGCCUCUCGCUCAACACUACGGGUAACACACUACUGUUAAUUCACACACACCAUACACCUAUUUGGAUUAGUUCACACACUUCAUUUUCUGAUUAUUAUAUCAUGUGUAGAGUUAAAUGACGUCCCUCCUGUCUGUGCCGUCUCCUCCUCCUGUACACAAAACACAGAAAGUAAUUUGUCUAUCUCUAUGAAGUUUUCCUAUCGACUAUUGAACAGUGUUUGUGAUAUUUUUGAAAAUCACAUGUUUCAGCAGUUUGUACUCCACUCACAUAAACGACAAUAAUGAUAAUCGCUGUGAAACUCCCAACGUAUGUUAGUAUUACCGCAUUAAUUGACAAUGUUCAAAAACCGUGACGUGAUGCACUCAUGACAGGACUAGUGUUAGCUUGCUUGCUAGCCUUAAAUGCUAAGAUGAAAACAUGAAGAAAGGUCAUAGCCCAAUAUAAACAUUGGUGUGUAAAGUACUAAGACACAAUAUUGACAUGAAAUAUGUCGUCUUUGCACAAAGUGAUGCAUAUAAACUGUCGCCUUGAAACAGACGCACAGGAAUUGAACUGACGUGACGUCACAUGAACCAAAUCAAUUUGCAUUUAUUGAAAAAAACAACAUUCUCAAACAUGAACAUAUUAAAAUGGAUGCAAAUAAACAUAUUUCAACACACCAGUAAAAUGGCUCUUAUAAAGUCGGAACAAUAUCCGAUGGCAAAAAAGUGUAUUGUGUGGUUAUUUAUUUAGAAAAAAAAUAUUGCAAUUUGAUUAAGAGAUUUUAGCCUG
Long non-coding RNA from Entelurus aequoreus (snake pipefish), 2894 nucleotides. RefSeq lists it as uncharacterized. NCBI's taxonomy places the organism in Eukaryota, Metazoa, Chordata, Actinopteri, Syngnathiformes, Syngnathidae. The record is from RefSeq and is a predicted model, not a curated record. The transcript has 5 exons.